Molecule: ribosomal RNA, 492 nt
Filed under: uncultured bacterium
Lineage: Bacteria
Description: partial 16S ribosomal RNA
Rfam family: Bacterial small subunit ribosomal RNA
Source: RNAcentral
AGUGAACGCUGGCGGUAGGCCUAACACAUGCAAGUCGAACGGCAGCACAGUAAGCGCUUGCUCUUACGGUUGGCGAGUGGCGGACGGGUGAGAAGUACAUCGGAAUCUACUUUUUCGUGGGGGAUAACGUAAGGAAACUUACGCUAAUACCGCAUAUGACCUACGGGUGAAAGCAAGGGAUCUUCGGGGCUUUGGCGUUUCUAUGAGCCGGCGUCGGAUUAGCUAGUUGGGUGGGUAAGGGCCCACCAAGGCAACGAUCCGUAGCCGAUCUGAGAGGAUGAUCAGCCACACUGGAACUGAGACACGGUCCAGACUCCUACGGGAGGCAGCAGUGGGGAAUAUUGGACAAUGGGCGCAAGCCUGACCCAGCCACACCGCGUGGGUGAAGAAGGCCUUCGGGUCGUAAAGCCCUUUUAUUGGGAAAGAAAAGCAGCAGAUUAAUCCACCGACGUUCUGACGGUACCCAAACAAUAAGCAACGGCUAACUUCGUG